UGCAGCAUGCCCUGUCCUGCGUGGGAAGAUGUUGCUUCCGUCUGCUACUGAGCUCCAGAGAGCCUUCCUUAUACUGCUUGGGACUGACUCGAGGCAGCAGGCACCAAGCAUUGGGACCUCUUGGCAGGCUUUUCUUAACAGUACAGAUCUUUUUCCCUUACAAGUCUGGCACCUGAAUUACCAGCAAGCAAUCUCCAGCUGUUCCCCAGGGGACUGCUCUUUGUGCACUGCUGUGCAUGCAGCACACUGGAGCAGGGCCAAGCAUCCAUCCAGCUCCUCAGCUUCUCCUCAUGCUUUGAGCACUUCAGCCAUACAGGGGGCUGGUGCCUGCCUGACACAAUUAGCUAUAGGGGAUGAGCUUCUGAACGUGCACAAAAACCCCAGUUGCUUCCCCCAGCCAUAUGUCAAAGAUGAUAACCACAGCAGGGCAGCUCUGAAUCAACAGAUGCUUUGUUUCUCCGGGCUUUGGGAACCCUGUCUGCAGAGUGGAACUGCUGGAAGGCAGAGGGGAAUCGAGCCGCUAUCAAGGGUAAUGCUGUGGCUUUGCAAGACAGAAAGAAAAACCUUCAGAAAGCAGAAUGGUGGGGCCUUACUCCAGUGCAUGAUUUGCUAGAGGAAGUAAUCCACUUUGGAUCAGCUGGUGGGAAGAAG
Gallus gallus (chicken) is the source of this 651-nucleotide long non-coding RNA. Lineage: Eukaryota; Metazoa; Chordata; Aves; Galliformes; Phasianidae. The record is from Ensembl.